CACACCCUGCGAUGCUCGUGUAUAACCGUGAAGUUUUGAUCCAACACCAAAACUUAGGGAGCCUGACCUCUGGUCGUGGCUUACAGGCCCUACCAUUUCAAGGGAAGUAAAAAGCGAUCAGGGAGGCACCCACCUGUUGAGAAGCAGGUUUUAAAACCACGGUGAACACGGCAUAUGUGGGGUUUUU
RNAcentral lists this non-coding RNA (187 nucleotides) under Clostridia bacterium. RNAcentral's name for it is "6S RNA". It matches the Rfam family "6S / SsrS RNA". Rfam says of the family: E. coli 6S RNA was the first non coding RNA to be sequenced, but its function was unknown until recently. The record is from RNAcentral. Lineage: Bacteria; Bacillati; Bacillota; Clostridia.